This 400-nucleotide transfer-messenger RNA is filed under the name Cyclobacteriaceae bacterium. It matches the Rfam family "transfer-messenger RNA". From Rfam's summary of the family: Bacterial tmRNA, also known as 10Sa RNA or SsrA, is named for its dual tRNA and mRNA-like properties. Lineage: Bacteria; Pseudomonadati; Bacteroidota; Cytophagia; Cytophagales; Cyclobacteriaceae. The record is from RNAcentral.
GGGGUCGACCGGUAUUGACAGGACGAGUGGUUGCGUAUGUAAGCAUGCAGGCUCAUAGGGUGAGAGCCUUGAAAGAUGACUCUAUAUUUUACUUGGCGAAAAUAACUACGCCAUGGCAGCAUAAUCUUAAACUUAGUUUAGGAUUUGCGUUUGGGUUGAGCUAAUAGUUCCCCAGCCAUCAUCCCUCCCGACUUCUGUUUUGUGAGUUGGGGUUUAGGGGUGUCGUAAUGCAAAACUAGCCAUAAUAGCGUUAUGAUAUUUUGGUGAAACUAAAGUAACUAAGGUUGUACUUGGGUGUCUUUCUCCGGGUAUUUCCCGACAAUUAAUGAAAGAAUAAGCAUGUAGAAGAUACGACAGUUACCUUCUCUGGACGAGGGUUCGAAUCCCUCCGACUCCACUA